GAUGAACGCUGGCGGCGUGCUUAACACAUGCAAGUCGAACGAUUAAAGCCCCUUCGGGGGUGUAUAGAGUGGCGAACGGGUGAGUAACACGUGGGCAACCUGCCCUGCGCUUCGGGAUAACUCAGGGAAACUUGAGCUAAUACCGGAUACUCCUUGGGGAUCGCAUGGUCCCCUCGGGAAAGUUCCGGCGGCGCAGGAUGGGCCCGCGGCCCAUUAGCUAGUUGGUGAGGUAAUGGCUCACCAAGGCAACGAUGGGUAGCCGAGCUGAGAGGCUGAUCGGCCACACUGGGACUGAGACACGGCCCAGACUCCUACGGGUGGCUG
RNAcentral lists this ribosomal RNA (324 nucleotides) under uncultured Actinomycetes bacterium. RNAcentral describes it as "bacterial SSU rRNA". It matches the Rfam family "Bacterial small subunit ribosomal RNA", at positions 28 to 351 of the family's 1533-position model. The record is from RNAcentral. Lineage: Bacteria; Bacillati; Actinomycetota; Actinomycetes.